AGCGAACGCUGGCGGCAGGCCUAACACAUGCAAGUCGAACGACCCUAUCGUGGUUGGUUGCUCUCGCGUGUGUAGCACGUCGGACCGUGGCUUUAUACUCCGAAUUACACAGUGAAACGUGUGCUAAUACCGAAUGUGUUCCGCUAGUACCAGAUUUGUCGUCUUUAGAGCGGCCGGCGUCCGCUUAGCUAGUUGCUUGAGGUAAUGGCGCACCAGGGCUACGUACUUUAGCUGGUCUGAGAGGAUGAUCAGCCACAUUCGGACUGAGACACGGCCCAAACUCCUACGGGAGGCAGCAGUGGGUAAUCCUGCGCAAUGGGCGAAAGGCUGACGCAGCCAUGCCGCGUGAAUGAUGAUGGUCUGAGGAUUGUAAAAUUCUUUCACCGGCCACGAUAAUGACGGUACCCAGAGAAGAAGCCCCGGCUAACUUCGUG
Molecule: ribosomal RNA, 434 nt
Filed under: uncultured bacterium
Lineage: Bacteria
Description: partial 16S ribosomal RNA
Rfam family: Bacterial small subunit ribosomal RNA
Source: RNAcentral